RNAcentral lists this transfer RNA (85 nucleotides) under Felis catus (domestic cat). It matches the Rfam family "tRNA". From Rfam's summary of the family: Transfer RNA (tRNA) molecules are approximately 80 nucleotides in length. Their secondary structure includes four short double-helical elements and three loops (D, anti-codon, and T loops). The record is from Rfam by way of RNAcentral. Lineage: Eukaryota; Metazoa; Chordata; Mammalia; Carnivora; Felidae.
GCCUGGGUGGCUUAGUUGGUUAAGCGUCCGACUUCAGCUCAGGUCAUGAUCUCACAGUUUGUGGGUUCAAGCCCCGCACUGGGCU